GGGGGAAACCCUGAUCCAGCAAUGCCGCGUGUGCGAAGAAGGCCUUCGGGUUGUAAAGCACUUUUGUCAGGGAAGAAAUCCUUUGGGCUAAUACCCUAGGGGGAUGACGGUACCUGAAGAAUAAGCACCGGCUAACUACGUGCCAGCAGCCGCGGUAAUACGUAGGGUGCAAGCGUUAAUCGGAAUUACUGGGCGUAAAGCGUGCGCAGGCGGUUGUGUAAGACAGGUGUGAAAUCCCCGGGCUUAACCUGGGAAUUGCAUUUGUGACUGCACGACUAGAGUGUGUCAGAGGGGGGUGGAAUUCCACGUGUAGCAGUGAAAUGCGUAGAUAUGUGGAGGAACACCAAUGGCGAAGGCAGCCCCCUGGGAUAACACUGACGCUCAUGCACGAAAGCGUGGGGAGCAAACAGGAUUAGAUACCCUGGUAGUCCACGCCCUAAACGAUGUCAACUAGUUGUUGGGGAUUUACUUCCUUGGUAACGUAGCUAACGC
This 492-nucleotide ribosomal RNA is filed under the name uncultured bacterium. Its description in RNAcentral is "bacterial SSU rRNA". It matches the Rfam family "Bacterial small subunit ribosomal RNA", at positions 373 to 858 of the family's 1533-position model. The record is from RNAcentral.